GAUGAACGCUGGCGGCGUGCCUAAUACAUGCAAGUCGAACGCACCAUUUCGGUGGUGAGUGGCGAACGGGUGAGUAACACGUAGGUAACCUGCCCUUAAGACGAGGAUAACCAAGGGAAACUUUGGCUAAAACUGGAUAGGAACAUAAGAGGCAUCUCUAAUGUUUUAAAAGACCUAGCAAUAGGUAUGCUUAAGGAGGGGCCUGCGGCGCAUUAGUUAGUUGGUGAGGUGAAGGCUUACCAAGACGAUGAUGCGUAGCCGGACUGAGAGGUUGAACGGCCACAUUGGGACUGAGACGACCGGCCCAAACUCCGUACGGGUGCAG
This 325-nucleotide ribosomal RNA is filed under the name uncultured Mycoplasmatota bacterium. Its description in RNAcentral is "bacterial SSU rRNA". It matches the Rfam family "Bacterial small subunit ribosomal RNA", at positions 28 to 351 of the family's 1533-position model. Lineage: Bacteria; Bacillati; Mycoplasmatota. The record is from RNAcentral.